UACAGAGACUGCAAGCGUUAUUCGGAGUUACUGGGCGUAAAGGGUGUGUAGGCGGUUGUUUAAGUUUGGUGUGAAAUCUCCCGGCUCAACUGGGAGGGUGCGCCGAAUACUGAAUGACUUCGAGUGCGGGAGAGGAGAGUGGAAUUCCUGGUGUAGCGGUGAAAUGCGUAGAUAUCAGGAGGAACACCGGUGGUGUAGACGGCUCUCUGGACCGUAACUGACGCUGAGACACGAAAGCGUGGGUAGCAAACAGG
This 254-nucleotide ribosomal RNA is filed under the name uncultured bacterium. RNAcentral describes it as "partial 16S ribosomal RNA". It matches the Rfam family "Bacterial small subunit ribosomal RNA", at positions 524 to 776 of the family's 1533-position model. The record is from RNAcentral.